UUCCUUAAAUCCAUUAGAUCUCCUAAGGUGACAAAUCUACUCUAGCUGUUUAUAAACAGAACAUAUCGUCAGAUCUGACAAAGAGCAAGCAACUAUGGGUGGUUGUUUCCAUUCCCGCGGAAGCUGAGUGACGCUAGAAAUAACACCACGCAGAUUCUUCCCUUCUCCGGUACAGAGAACUCUUACUAUCACAUUGCAUCACGGAUCCCCUCCUUCCUGAACUCCAUCCUCCCUGCUCCGGAACAAUCUUCUUCAUUCUGUACUCCCUUGUACACUUUCAAGAAGAAAAGGACACACUUAGGGAAAGAAGUUUCCCCGAGUACACAAUGUAAAUGUCUAAAAGUGUUUUGUCAAAAGUACACAACGAGCUGGCUAAAAUAUACCGGGUAGUAAGUACUUAUUCAUUAUUGGAGGACAAGCAGGUCUUCAGUCAAGGGGCUGAAGGUUGUUCAACUAUUCCUUUGAGAAAAGGCCAC
RNAcentral lists this long non-coding RNA (476 nucleotides) under Fukomys damarensis (Damara mole-rat). Its description in RNAcentral is "lncRNA (ENSFDAG00000024486.1)". The record is from RNAcentral. Lineage: Eukaryota; Metazoa; Chordata; Mammalia; Rodentia; Bathyergidae.